Long non-coding RNA from Culex pipiens pallens (northern house mosquito), 710 nucleotides. RefSeq lists it as uncharacterized. The record is from RefSeq and is a predicted model, not a curated record. NCBI's taxonomy places the organism in Eukaryota, Metazoa, Arthropoda, Insecta, Diptera, Culicidae. The transcript is spliced from 2 exons.
CAGUUCAACCAUAACCCUUUUUUGGUUUAGUACUUGAACAUUGACCUAGUGAGAAUUUUGGCUCUAGCAUCGAGUCGAUUAAGGCUUGAACGCGAGCCAAAUCGAAUCGAGGCUCGAGCUAAAAUGCUCGACUUGAACUCUAAAAUUUGCUUGAAAAUGUGGGAAAACGAACUCUUGAUUUUUGGUCAGUGUGUAGUGAGAGGUAAUUUUGACGUUUGAUCAAUUCUCAAUGUGAGUGUUCGUGCAAAAAUGCAGAAUCCAUCUCCUGUUUUGCAUUCUUCACAAUGUCAUCUGUCAAAAGCAAUUCCAAACAAAAUAUAUUUAUUUUUUUAAUUUUAUCAAAUUUCAAGUGGACGAUCAAGUUUUGUGUGAAAAAAAGGCUAAAAGUGUCUUUGGUCAAACUAAACAAGAGUGAUGGCGGCGGCAGCGUCAUCAUCGGUCUGGUCCGUUCCUGAUCGACUUUCCAAUACGACCGACGGAACAACUUCCUAUCCCGGGACGAUCCGUUGCAGAUCGGCAAUCGAAGAUCCUGUCGCGGUAGAUACAACAUUGUCUUCCAGACUACAAAAUACGCGAGACCUUAAACGAUGAUGGACUUGAGGCAGCAGGAGGAAGUUUCAUGUGACCACGAGUGGAGAAAGUCAUAUUUAUAAAAAAUGAAAAUAAAUGAGAAAAUAUGUAUCUUCUUAGUUUUUGUUUCUUUGCAAAGA